AAAAGCUCGUAGUUGGAUCUGGGUCGCACGGCCACAUGCUGUGCUCAUGUUUUCUGCUCUUUUGGGGUGGAUAUGCGUGAGUCGGCGUAGUGGUUGUGCUGCCUUUCUGCCGUGUCUGUGUAUACGGGUGCUGGCUGGCCCGAUGGGUUCGUCCUGUUGGCCAGUUGGCAUGCUCCUUGAUGCCUUUAACACGGUGUCGGGGGCGGACGGCACGUUUACUUUGAACAAAUUUGAGUGCUCAAAGCAGGCCAAUGCGCCUGAAAAUUCUUGCAUGGAAUAAUGGAAUAGGACUUCGGUUCUAUUUUGUUGGUUUUCGGAUCCGAAGUAAUGGUUAAGAGGGACAGACGGGGGCAUUUGUAUGGCGGUGUUAGAGGUGAAAUUCUUGGAUCGCCGCCAGACAAACUACAGCGAAAGCAUUUGCCAAGGAUGUUUUCAUUGAUCUGGAGCGAAAGUCAGAGGUUCGAAGACGAUCAGAUACCGUCCUAGUUCUGACCAUAAACGAUGCCAACUGACGAUCCGUGGUGGUUCUUUUAUUGGCCCCGCGGGCAGUCCCC
Molecule: ribosomal RNA, 554 nt
Filed under: Gymnophallus choledochus
Lineage: Eukaryota; Metazoa; Platyhelminthes; Trematoda; Gymnophallidae
Description: SSU rRNA
Rfam family: Eukaryotic small subunit ribosomal RNA
Source: RNAcentral